RNAcentral lists this ribosomal RNA (449 nucleotides) under Kribbella sp. YN-8-2. RNAcentral's name for it is "bacterial SSU rRNA". It matches the Rfam family "Bacterial small subunit ribosomal RNA", at positions 55 to 519 of the family's 1533-position model. The record is from RNAcentral. Lineage: Bacteria; Bacillati; Actinomycetota; Actinomycetes; Propionibacteriales; Kribbellaceae.
AUGCAAGUCGAGCGGUAAGGCCCCUUCGGGGGUACACGAGCGGCGAACGGGUGAGUAACACGUGAGCAACCUACCCUCAACUUUGGGAUAAGCCUCGGAAACGGGGUCUAAUACCGGAUAAUAUCGACUGUCUCAUGAUGGUUGGUUGAAAGUUCUGGCGGUUGGGGAUGGGCUCGCGGCCUAUCAGCUUGUUGGUGGGGUAAUGGCCUACCAAGGCGUCGACGGGUAGCCGGCCUGAGAGGGCGACCGGCCACACUGGGACUGAGACACGGCCCAGACUCCUACGGGAGGCAGCAGUGGGGAAUAUUGCGCAAUGGACGGAAGUCUGACGCAGCAACGCCGCGUGAGGGAUGACGGCCUUCGGGUUGUAAACCUCUUUCAGCAGGGACGAAGCGAGAGUGACGGUACCUGCAGAAGAAGGACCGGCCAACUACGUGCCAGCAGCCGGG